GACGAACGCUGGCGGCGUGCUUAACACAUGCAAGUCGAACGGAAAGGCCCUGCUUUUGUGGGGUGCUCGAGUGGCGAACGGGUGAGUAACACGUGAGUAACCUGCCCUUGACUUUGGGAUAACUUCAGGAAACUGGGGCUAAUACCGGAUAGGAGCUCCUGCUGCAUGGUGGGGGUUGGAAAGUUUCGGCGGUUGGGGAUGGACUCGCGGCUUAUCAGCUUGUUGGUGGGGUAGUGGCUUACCAAGGCUUUGACGGGUAGCCGGCCUGAGAGGGUGACCGGCCACAUUGGGACUGAGAUACGGCCCAGACUCCGAAGGGAGGCAGCAGUGGGGAAUAUUGAACAAUGGGCGGAAGAAUGAUGCAGCAACGCCGCGUGCGGGAUGACGGACUUCGGGUUGUAAACCGCUUUCGCCUGUGACGAAGCGUGAGUGACGGUAAUGGGUAAAGAAGCACCGGCUAACUACGUG
Molecule: ribosomal RNA, 468 nt
Filed under: uncultured bacterium
Lineage: Bacteria
Description: partial 16S ribosomal RNA
Rfam family: Bacterial small subunit ribosomal RNA
Source: RNAcentral